RNAcentral lists this long non-coding RNA (3792 nucleotides) under Olea europaea subsp. europaea. Lineage: Eukaryota; Viridiplantae; Streptophyta; Magnoliopsida; Lamiales; Oleaceae. The record is from RNAcentral.
CGAUUUCUCCUCGCGGCCCAUUACCCCUCGAAUACCAAAUAUUUACGUCCCACCCAUGUAUACCUAAGGGGAAAAUGACGAAAUAGAAGGGUAAAAUUGUCACUCACUCCUCUAUAUAUAGUGCGGCAGUAGAGACGAACCACGUUUUUGGUAUAGUCCAAAGGCGAACGAACGAAUCAGAGGAAUUUUCGUUGCCCACUCUCUCUCUAAAAUACACACACUCUCUCUAUAUCUAUCGCUUUCUCUCUCCAAAUACAUCGACGAUCAAAUUAGGGUUUUCAAUUUGUUUCGACUUCACGCAGUAAUGAUUUCCGAUUCGAUCGCCAACGCUUCCAUCUCCAUGGCCUCCUCUAACCCAAAAGAUUUCGCCAAGAAAAAGAAGGUAUUUAUGUGUUUCUUGAUAUUUUUAUGUUUUUACACAUAUAUUGUGUAUACGUUUGUUUUCUUUUUAAUUGUGCACUUAUAUACCUUUUCAUAUUUUUAUUUUUACUUGUAUAAAUUCUCAAGAUUUUUAAUUAAGACUUGUAUAAAUAUCCAUAUUUUCAAUUUUCAUAGUCUUGAAUGUAGUAUUGAUUCUCAAUGCUUUUCGUUGAAGUUGAUUUUCCCUUCUAUCAAUUUCCACACUGUUUCUUUGUUAAUUUUCAGGGUAAUUGGGUGGAAUUUGCUGAUUUUCAAUGUUUUUGAGUUUAUAUAAUUUCUUUUUAAUUGUUUCUUUGGGGGGAUUUUAGGCGAAUCGAUCAGCCAAAUUAAAGCAGUGCAAGCUUGAUGCUCGCCGCGAGCAGUGGCUUUCUCAAGGUUAGUCAAAGAUCUGUGUUCUGUAACAUGCAUUCACGUCAUAUGUGUACAUACUCAUCUUUACUUAUAUAGUGAAGAAUAAGGGUAACUGUAAGGAGGAAUCAAAUGAUGGCGGGAUACAUGGAGGAUCAUCGGUGAAAUUGGGGAACAAGAGCAUACUUGCCAUAGAGAAAUUGGAGAUUAAGCCGAGAGAUGUGCAGGAGAAUUAUGGAGAUGGAUUGCCACUGCAUCAUUACAGUGAUUCCGAGUCAUCGCCAUCCACUAGCCACAACAGUAGCGUCUUGGGCAUUAUUGAUUCCAGAGCCAAUUUUACAGGGAGCAGCAGCCAAAGCAGUAGUGCUAGCAGCAACGGAUGUUGUUCUGGAAGUAUGAGUGAGGAAGGUGAAGGGGAUGAUGAUGGCUGCUUGGAUGAUUGGGAGGCUGUGGCUGAUGCCUUGGCUGAAACCGAUGACAAGAAGCAACAGCAUAACACCGACUCAGGAUUGGAUUCAUUAACUUCGGAGAAAGAUUUAAAUGCUUCCCAGUCAGAUUCUCAAUCGAUGGUAACAAACCAAUUGGCCUUUGGGCUUGAUGUUUCAAAGCCGAAGCUGGAGAAUCAGAGAAUGGUUGCAGAAGGGGCUCUGGUAAAUUGCCAGGCAUGGAGGCCUGAUGAUGCCUGUCGUCCUCAAACCCUGCCCAACUUGUCUAAGCAGUAUAGUUUCCCAAUGAAUUCAGGGAGACAUUUUGAUUGUGGAGGCUCUGUUUGGGCAUGUAGGAAUGUUGUGCCUGUCCCCACAUCGUGCCCAAUAUGCUAUGAGGAUUUUGACUUCACGGACUCGAGUUUUCUCCCUUGUUCAUGUGGCUUCCGGCUUUGCCUUUUCUGUCACAAGAGGAUUCUUGAGGAGGAUGGGCGCUGUCCAGGUUGCAGGAAGCAGUAUGACUCUGAAACUGUUGAUGGAGAGGCAACACUGGAUGGAGGCAGCUUGACAUUUCGGUUGGCCCGUUCUUGUAGCAUGAUCACACGGUCUUAGGAAGAGUCUUUGUUUCCCUUGAACGUAUAUGUUUGGUCCAUCUUUUUCUCAGUGUUCCUUUUGUGUGUUCUUGUUGCGAGACUCUAGUUAUCGCGAGACUCUAGUUAUCAUAGUCUUAUAUGUUGGCAUAGAAGGGAGUUUUUGAAGCACAGAUCUAGUACUCUAAUGAUUUUGGUCCAUAUAUUUGUAUGGUGCGUGUGCUGGAAGACUUUGUUAUGUGAAUAGAUGAGGUGGUAUAGAAAUUGAAUACGCCAAGUUUGGUGAAACAUGACUGUUGUAUCUUGAUGAAUUUAGUUUGUUCCCUUGAGAUGAAGUACAAAUUCAUAAUGUGAAGGAAUUUCUUAAAAGUUCUAUCAUUCUUCUUUCGACAUAUUCUCUACUAUAUGCGUGUUCUUAUCUUUUUCUUGUGCUUUAUGUUAGCCUUACAUAUAUAUGAUUGAAGGCAAAAUUUCCUGAGCUUCUCAAGUUUUACAUGAUGAUAUUUAAAAUUCGAUACUUCUAGAUGUUUGUCGUGAAGAUUUGGAAGACUAAGACACAGCUUUAAUUAUUAAAGAAGUUUAGUUUUCGAUUUAUAACUUGAAAUUUUUUAAAUUAUGAUCAAGAUGCUUAUGAUUCAAGUUAUUCAUUUUUUAAUUUUGUUUCUAUGAAGCAGGAAUCAACAGUCAUCAUCUUUCAGCUAGUUUGUACCGACUUGUGGAGAAGGGGUAAAAAUAGUAGAUUGUGGUUAAUGUUUGCAUUGUAGUUCUUCAUUUAAUUUUACUUUUUUUUUUUUUUUUUCAGUUUCCUCCUUUGCAUUUGUACUGCCUUGAUUUUCGGCUUCAAGAUGGUUAUAUGCCAGAGCACUGAUACCGUGGAUUAGUGUUAGUUGCCUGGUGUCUGGUUUAUUUGAUUUGUGAAAACCUCAGUGAACCUGAGUGUUUUGAACAAGGACUAUGCAGCCAUGUGAGUUACAAUUAAUUAUAUUAUGAAGCAAAUCAAAUAGUGGUGUUCGAAGAAAAGGAUGUGAAAGUAACCAUUUUCUAGGCAUGGGAUGCCAGGGUAACUAAAUGAAGAUUAGCAAGCUUUAGAAGAUGGUGUAAGAUGUUCUUGUUAUCUAAUUCUUAAACUCCUUGAUUAUUUACAUUUUGGCAACUGUCCGCAGAAACAUUUUGACCCAGGAUCUUGCUAUUUAAAAUGGAGUUAGUAAUUUCAUGCCCAGGCUCUUGAGGAGUAGAAGUUGUGGGAUGAGAAGGAAAGAAAUAAUAGAUUAGAAAACGGAGCUGUAGGUGGAGAAGGAAAGAAUUGUGAAAAUACGUGGAGAAGUGUAGAUGACCAAAAACAUUUCAUCCUUCAUGGAAUUAGUAAUGUCACACUUGUGCUGUUAGUACGACAUUGUUAUCGUGUGCAAUUGAAUAUGCGUUGCAUUGGAGGUUAUAUGAAAGGUCCUUGUAUUAGUGUUUGAAAGACAGAGACAUUGGGCAAAGCAUUUCAUCCUUCCUGAAGUGGACCCGCCUUUACAUGUCUAUUAUUUGUAAGAAAAUGAAAUAUACUAUUUAUACAUAACCAUAUUGACAAAUUCAUAUUAUAGGAAACAACUGAACUAAGGACAGGUGUUAAAAAUAUUGAUGAGAACAAAAUAUAUCUAAAAAUGUUGAUAAAACAUGCUUGUUUCAUAAUGUCAUAAAGUCUGCCAUUUUGUAAGCUUGUUAUUUUACUAGAGAGGGUGCACUUUCAAUUUGACAUGGCCAUCAAUGUUACUUAAGCCUUAUUCCUAUGAUGUCAAUGGAGCAAAUGCUUAGCUAGGAAACAUGAUGAACUAGCUUCUACAGUAUGUGUCACUUCUUCAGGCAUGUGCACUAGCAGAUUUUCAUCUUCUAAUAGCUUAGGGCAUUUUGGACUGCCUUGAUCUUAAGCGAGCAAGGACUUGGCCUUUCUCAAUAUAGCUGAGACUAAGAAGGGUUUAUUCAAUUGAGACUUUUAAUGACUUUUUGGGAUUCAAAAAGUUUAG